This 499-nucleotide ribosomal RNA is filed under the name uncultured soil bacterium. RNAcentral's name for it is "bacterial SSU rRNA". It matches the Rfam family "Bacterial small subunit ribosomal RNA", at positions 26 to 505 of the family's 1533-position model. The record is from RNAcentral.
AGAUUGAACGCUGGCGGCAUGCCUUACACAUGCAAGUCGAACGGUAGAGUAGCAAUACUCGAGAGUGGCGAACGGGUGAGUAAUGUAUCGGAACGUGCCCAGUCGUGGGGGAUAACGCAGCGAAAGCUGCGCUAAUACCGCAUACGAUCUAUGGAUGAAAGCGGGGGACCGUAAGGCCUCGCGCGAUUGGAGCGGCCGAUAUCAGAUUAGGUAGUUGGUGGGGUAAAGGCUCACCAAGCCAACGAUCUGUAGCUGGUCUGAGAGGACGACCAGCCACACUGGGACUGAGACACGGCCCAGACUCCUACGGGAGGCAGCAGGUGGGAAUUUUGGACAAGUGGGCGCAAGCCUGAUCCAGCAAUGCCGCGUGCGAGGAAGAAGGCCGUUACGGGUUGUAAACGUGUCGUUUUUGUAACGGUAACCGAAACGGUCCUAGGUUAAUACCGUUGGGACUAAGUGAACCGGUAACGUAAAGAAUAACGCAACCGGCUAACGUACG